AUUGAAGGAAGGAAGAAAAUACUUCCUUAGGUUACUCACUGGUUGCCAGAGAUGAGGAAUAAGUUAUGUGACUUCAAGAAGUCCUUAACCAGCAGGAAGAGCGCAUCCUUCCCUUUUGACAUCUUGGGGACAGCUGAAUGAGGCUGACCAUUUUCACUUUCAAGGCAACACGGGUUUUUUUUUUUUUUUUUUUUUUUUUUUUUUUUUUUUGCAGCUACACCUGUGACAUAUGGAAGUUCCCAGGCCAGGGUUUGAAAGGAAACUGCAGCUGCUGGCCUAUACCACAGCCACAGCAAAAAGGGAUCCAAGCCACGUCAGUGGCCAACGAAGCUUGCAGCAACACUGGAUUCUUAGCCCACUGAGUGAGACCAGGGAUGGAACACAUAUCCUCCCAGAGACAAGGUUGGGUCCUUAACCUGCUAAGCCACAACAGAAACUCCAACAAUGAAUGCUUUUAUGUCACCUUUGCAUCUGGGAGGCUCACAGAUCUGUGGCCUCAUCUGAGAUCACAGGUCAUCAUAGAGAGAGGUAGAUGAGAAUUCACAAAGUUUCCUAUAUUUUUAAUACAUUCACUUGGUUUUAUUUUAUAAGGAAUAAAAUUUCUACAUGGAGCACAGGGGCAGAAGCACAGAGAGGGGAAAAUGUGUUCAUAUGUCACCAGCAGAUUCUACACAAUAUUGUUCCCCUGACUUAAUUCACAAAGGCAGCUUCCCAGAGACUUUGAACUACCUUGGGCAUGAGGCGGGAGCAGGUGCGGGUGGGGGCAAAUAUAAAGCUGGCAAUUGUAGGCAUUUAGGAUGCUAAAAAAGAUAGCGCAGGAAAGGAAAAUAGAAUGAGGAAAAGAAUGCUGGCUUGAUCAGGGAGAGAAAAUCACAGAGCAUUUUGGGACCUCUGGUUUAGAGGAGAGUGAGAUCAAUGAAAGGUCUUGAAACUAUGUGUGAAUAUUCUGUUUAGUGGGCCUGAGAAUGUUCUAUUCUCGACCAAACCCACUAGCGUGUGUGUGUGUGUGUGUGUGUGUGUGUGUGUGUGUUUAAAUAGGAAAUGGAUGCACAUUUCGCAUGUCUAAAAGGCUUACAAAGGCAUUCAGUGAGAAUGUUCUUACAAUCACCGCCUCUAAGCCAUUCAAGUCCCAAUCCUGGAGGCAGCCGAUGUUACCAUCUUCUUGUGUAUUUUUCCAGAGCUAUUUGAUGCAUAUAUAAUAUGACUAUAUUUAUUCUCUCCUGUUGCCAGUAUGGAGGAAGGGUUUUUGAGGCUUCUGUGUUGACAUUUUUUUCUUGUUAGUCAAGCCAUCUGAGAGUUAGAUGGUCCCUCCACAAAAAAAGACAAGCUUGGGACCAUUAGCACUGACUGGAAGGCCAACUUGUUUUCCUGAGAUAAAAUAGAAAAUGGAGAAGUAAUUUGCUGAAAAUGGAGCAAUACAUGCAAUUAUUUUCAUGUUAGGAAACCUGCGUUUGUGUGUGUUUUGGAACAUAUAAGGGCAUGGUGCCCUGAUUUAGGUUAUAGGGGAGGCAUUGCUGAGCACAACAGUAAAGAGGACUGGGAAUGUGACCUCAGCAAGGAAAGGAUGUCCUUCAGAGCUAUGUUAGAUUACAGUUUAGGUAAAUUUUUCAAGAAUUGUUGCAUAAUAUUCAUUUUUAGAAGUUUAGGAACUUAAUUUCAAAGUCAUGUCCAGAAGGAAGGCAUGAAUAGCCUUGGACCUAUGAGCUCCUACUGUCCAUGGCUAUGGUACAGCCUGUUCCCACCUUAAAUUCCAACUCCUCCAAGCCAGAAAUUUAUUUAUCCUUGCAUUUCUUACCUAGCCUAAUGCAUGGAACCUGGUAGCUAUUCUAUGAAUAAAUACGUACUGAAUGAAUGAGUGUGUGAGUUAAUUUCUGUAUUUUUUGAUAAUGAGGGUUUCAUUUGAGCUUUGAUGAACAUAAAAAGGCAUAAUAGUCCAGUUUUCAGUAUUUCUUCGUAACAACAUUCCAUGAAAUACAAGGUGCAAUUCUUAUGUCAGUUUUGCUAGAUUAAGAUGUUAGUGAAGAAAAAUUCAUGAGCCUUGAAAUUCUUUUUUUAGCUGUGCUACCUCCACUUUCCAAAAGGGCAAAUGAACAUCUGUGUGUCUGGAACAAAUGACAAAUUAAAAAUAAGAGAUUAAUUAAGCAUUGGAUGAACAGUUUUAACACAAAUUUUAGUACAAUAGAAGUAGGAGAAAUCAAUCAUUUCAAGUUUACUAUAUUGGGGGUUGGAUUUUAUUGAUUAACUUACUUAAAAAGUGACUCCGUCUGAACAAUUAGAAUAUCAGGCAAAGAACAUAGGCUUUUACAUAUAAAACAAGCUUUGGAAGGAUUGUCCAUUAAACAUUAUGAUUGCUGCAAAAAAAAAAUAAUAACAUGCCUUGCACAGCUUUGUUAUCAGGAAACUUUACAUUUGACAUUUUGGAGGCAAAGAAAGCGAAUGGCUUGAAAAGUUGAAAAGCCAAUUCAUCAUGAUGCCUGACAUUUGGGAGCUGAUAUUAUCAUAUGCAAUUUAAAAUUCAGAAUUUAUAAAGUGCCAUCAUAUAAUACAGACCAGCAAAUAAAGGGUCUUGCUGAAAUGUCUGUAUUUAUCUAGGAAAGCAAGGUCGUCACAAAAAGUUGAUGAUUUUGAGUUUGAUAUUUAUGGGUUUGAACUUGAAUAUUUAUUUCUCCCCUCCUCACCCUCAUAUUUUUGAAAAUAAUGAGUUCAUACCUUCUGAAACCAACAAAAUUCUAUAUACAAGAAACUGAUUUUAUAUAGGGAGAUUUAAACAUCUGCUACAUGACCUCUGUUAUUGUGGUCAAGGGACAUUUAUUGAACACGUUUCAUGUGAUGUUUGUUGAUCACUGUUUGCUUUAUUUCUACUCAAAAUAUGAAAGCCCAUGAAAAUAUGUUCAAAGCUACUCUGAGGAUUCUGCUGAGAAACAAUGGUCGUCCUGCUGCUGCUGUGUGCUUAUAUGUAAUGUUUUGUACUCCAGAGAUUACUGUCUGGUAAUAUCAGGAGAUAUUUUUCAGUAACAUCUGCAUAAGAAUACAUCCAAUUGGUUAUAUUCAGAUUAAUUUCGGGAAUCACAGUCUCAAAGUCACGGAAAGUGCCCCUCAGAGUCCUGGGACCCAGAAAAACUUCUUGGCCCUGAACCUGAUCAUCCACUUUCUUUUUCAUCAAGGGAAUCAACAUUAAGAUGGAGAAAAGGACAUGAACCAUUUUACACUUGCUCGCUUCCUUGCCCUGCAUUGAUAAUCUUGCUGUUUUCCUGAAGACUGUGUACUAUGCUUGGCUUUCUUGUGGUUACUCUCAGAUCAGCAGAAUGAAAUAUUCCCUUUCUUCUUUCCUUGCAAAUACAUUAAGAAAAAGCAGCCAGUGAUUUGUACAAUUGACAACUGCAACCAUUGCUCCAGGGCAGCUUGAGAAAAACUCAUAUUCUCUCUAACAUAACCCAGAAGUGCCUGUUCAUCUACCUUAUGACAGUGGCAUGCAUUUCAUUGUUGCUCCGUGAUCAAAUUCAGAAGAGAGAUAGCUGCUGUAUUUUCAAUUGAUACGAAAAUAGCUGGUUGUACUAGACACCAUCUGACGUCAAUGGAAUCAUUAAAAAGCAGUGACCAGUCUGCAGAACCUCUUUGCGGAAGCGAUUGCAGCUCGAAGUGCAGAUACUUAAGCCAUAUAAUUUUUUUUCCUUUGGACAGACAUCUUCUGUCACAAGGUAAUUUCAUCAAUCAUUUUAAAAACAUGUGGUCAGAGCUCAAGUUCUUUCUGCUACACUGUGGUGCAUAAUCCUGUAUAAAAAGUCAGGAUUCGUGGCGUAUGGAAAUAAUGGAAAUGGAGAGUUGAGAACUUCAGGAAAUUUCAUAGUAGACUCCUAAAUAGACUUGAGCCUACAACUUAGCUCCUUCUGUAUUGAUUUCCAGACACAGGCUUUUGGGCUAAAACUUAAAGGUGACUAAGGCAGGAUGCCCUGGACAACAACCAACAUGGUGCUGAGGCCCACUUACAAAUUCUUUCUAAGAGACAGAACUUUCACUUUGACAAAAGAACAAAGAACACUCUCAUGAUCUCUUUUUACUUUAUCUCUCCUCCAUCUUUCAUCAUACCCCAGUGCAAUUCUUCUAAAAUAUCUUCUGAUUAUGCCAGCCUCUUCUUCAACAACCAUACAUGCCUCCUGAUGUCUAUAUUCUUUUUAAUCAGGCCAACUCAUACAUGUCCUAGCCAGAGGCCAAUUAAACAAAUCUUUGGUUUCCCCAGGCCUUUGGACCCUAAAUUUUACACUACUCCUGCUUUUUGUUAUGCACCCAUUCCUGAAACCCACUUGCCUAGUGAUACUCUUGUCAUCACACAGAGUACUUACGGUUCACACUUGAUAGAUUUAGCUUUACUAAUGUCGAGCAGUUGUGUUCUCUUUUGAACACAAUUUGUCAUAGUCUUGCAAUGACUUAGGUAACAUUCUGUUCAACUAAUAUCCAGAUCUAGGUCUCAUGCCAGAAUAUGACUCACCUCCAUCUUGGGAAUGGGUCAUGUCCUCCCUCAUUACCUAUAGGAUAACACCCAUAGCGCUAAACUCCAAUCCAUCAUUCCAGAAUCUUCUAUCAAUUCCCUCCAUACGCCUAUAUAUCAGUCUCUGAGCCCACCACAAUCUUUCAUUCUUCCAUUCUUUUGUCAUGCUGCCUUACACUUGUAAAAUCCUUCCGGUAUUUCCCAUUUAGCGCAUGCACGUUUUAACAUCAACCUCAACCAAUGUCCCAUUCCCCCACCAACUUCAUUGAUCUAAUUUACAUGUUCCCAUGGAAAUGCAUAUUGAUUACACUUGUAAUUGCUUGAUGUUCCUCUGUUUUCCCCUCAAAAUUAACUUUCCAUAAUGAAACUAAUAUUUUAUUCAUUUCUGUAUCCUCAGAUGUAGAUACAACAUAGUCUAUCAAAUGAUUUUUCAAAUGUUUGAGCAUAUGUUGGUUUUGAAAUUUGUGCCACUUAAUACUUAAAUAUAUUUCAUCUAUGCAUCAUUACCCUUGAUUAAUCAUAAACCUGAUGUAUAGCAAGCAUUUUUAAAAUACUUUAUAUACUGCUAGGUCAGUGUUGAGAAUUUAUACUCAAUGAACUCUGUUUUCUUGAUAUUCGCCUCUGGUUUCUGUUUAUAAUGUGAAAUUUUCAUCUAAUAUAUAUUCUUUUAUACUUA
RNAcentral lists this long non-coding RNA (5162 nucleotides) under Sus scrofa (pig). RNAcentral describes it as "lncRNA (ENSSSCG00000056357.1)". Lineage: Eukaryota; Metazoa; Chordata; Mammalia; Artiodactyla; Suidae. The record is from RNAcentral.